Molecule: long non-coding RNA, 356 nt
Filed under: Malus domestica (apple)
Lineage: Eukaryota; Viridiplantae; Streptophyta; Magnoliopsida; Rosales; Rosaceae
Description: long non-coding RNA (MDOM_LNC010972)
Source: RNAcentral
UUCGCCAAGCUCGGGAUUGGGUCGCCGUCGAAGGACUAUUUUGUCCAGGUGGAUACGGGGAGUGAUAUCCUGUGGGUCAAUUGCGUAGGCUGCACAAACUGUCCCAAGAAAAGUGACAUCGGCGUGAAGCUCACAUUGUAUGAUCCGAAAAGCUCAUCGACUUCGAGUUCUGUUACUUGUGAUCAGGAAUUUUGCACGUCGAAAUACAACGGUCAACUGCCGGGCUGCCAGCCGGACUUGCUCUGCCAAUACGACGUGACAUAUGGCGACGGAAGUGAGACGGCCGGAUACUUUGUGCAGGACACUAUUCAAUUUGAUGAGGGGACUAAUGGCAGUGUUGUGUUUGGUUGCGGUGC